UACGUAGGGGGCAAACGUUGCUCGGAAUCACUGGGCGUAAAGGGUGUGUAGGCGGCUGGGCAAGUCAAGGAUGAAAUCCCGCGGCUCAACUGCGGAACCGUCCUUGAAACUGCCUAGCUUGAGGAUAGUCGAAGAAAACGGAAUUCCCGGUGGAGCGGUGAAAUGCGUAGAUAUCGGGAGGAACACCAGAGGCGAAAGCGGUUUUCUAGGCUACUCCUGACGCUGAGGCACGAAAGCUAGGGGAGCAAACGGG
RNAcentral lists this ribosomal RNA (253 nucleotides) under uncultured bacterium. RNAcentral's name for it is "partial 16S ribosomal RNA". It matches the Rfam family "Bacterial small subunit ribosomal RNA", at positions 524 to 776 of the family's 1533-position model. The record is from RNAcentral.